This 249-nucleotide ribosomal RNA is filed under the name Typhulaceae sp. 2 CRJH-2017. RNAcentral describes it as "partial 28S ribosomal RNA". It matches the Rfam family "Eukaryotic large subunit ribosomal RNA", at positions 104 to 344 of the family's 3401-position model. Lineage: Eukaryota; Fungi; Basidiomycota; Agaricomycetes; Agaricales; Typhulaceae. The record is from RNAcentral.
AGAGCUCAAAUUUAAAAUCUGGCGGUCCCCGAGGCCGUCCGAGUUGUAAUUUAGAGAAGUGUUACCCACGCUGGACCGUGUACAAGUCUCCUGGAACGGAGCGUCGUAGAGGGUGAGAAUCCCGUAUAUGACACGGACUACCAGGGUUUUGUGGUGCGCUCUCGAAGAGUCGAGUUGUUUGGGAAUGCAGCUCAAAAUGGGUGGUAAAUUCCAUCUAAAGCUAAAUAUAGGCGAGAGACCGAUAGCGAA